GGAAGUUAAGAAACUGUUUCUUAACUUUUAACUAAAAAAGCUAAGAACUGGUUCUUAAAGUCCUUAUUUAAGAACCGGUUCUUAGCUUUUUUAGUUAAAAGUUAAGAAACGGUUUCUUAACUUCC
This 125-nucleotide microRNA precursor is filed under the name Brassica napus (rape). RNAcentral's name for it is "MIR9563 microRNA precursor family". It matches the Rfam family "MIR9563 microRNA precursor family". The record is from Rfam by way of RNAcentral. Lineage: Eukaryota; Viridiplantae; Streptophyta; Magnoliopsida; Brassicales; Brassicaceae.